ACUCCUACGGGAGGCAGCAGUAGGGAAUCUUCCACAAUGGGCGCAAGCCUGAUGGAGCAACACCGCGUGAGUGAAGAAGGGUUUCGGCUCGUAAAGCUCUGUUGUUAAAGAAGAACACGUAUGAGAGUAACUGUUCAUACGUUGACGGUAUUUAACCAGAAAGUCACGGCUAACUACGUGCCAGCAGCCGCGGUAAUACGUAGGUGGCAAGUGUUAUCCGGAUUUAUUGGGCGUAAAGAGAGUGCAGGCGGUUUUCUAAGUCUGAUGUGAAAGCCUUCGGCUUAACCGGAGAAGUGCAUCGGAAACUGGAUAACUUGAGUGCAGAAGAGGGUAGUGGAACUCCAUGUGUAGCGGUGGAAUGCGUAGAUAUAUGGAAGAACACCAGUGGCGAGGGCGGCUACCUGGUCUGCAACUGACGCUGAGACUCGAAAGCAUGGGUAGCGAACAGGAUUAGAUACCCUGGUAGGAUAGCG
RNAcentral lists this ribosomal RNA (473 nucleotides) under uncultured bacterium. Its description in RNAcentral is "bacterial SSU rRNA". It matches the Rfam family "Bacterial small subunit ribosomal RNA", at positions 335 to 801 of the family's 1533-position model. The record is from RNAcentral.